UUCAUAUAUCUUAAAACUUCUGGUUAAAUGAGCCUAAGCUCUUUACAAAAAGUCCAUGCAAAAGUUAAUAUCAUUUUAGAAUACAGUAUAGGAUGUACCGAAUAUUCUUCAGUUUUAUGCAAAACAGAAAUACAACAAAUAGAAUAUCAGAUCUCUGUCAUGGCCAAAAAUAAAUGCAAAAAUGCUUUCUUUUCAAGAAGCCAAGUUCCUGGCUUCUUCCAAGACCUUCAAGGACCCAAUUGACCUCGGAAUCAGCUGUUAAGGAGGAUGAAACCGAUAUCUAAGAAUGGGACAGCGAUAUUGCAUCAGUUGGUCUCCUACUUCAUUUGAUUCCACCAUCAUUACAAGGCUGCAGGGACCUGGAAAAAUGUCAUCCAGUCAAGCUGAAAAACAUCUUCAAAAAGGCACCAACAAGAAGAACAGCUUUAUUGCAUAGAAGAAACCACACAGCCAUACAUGCUCACUGAUUGAACAACAAGGAACAUCAUUCAUGGAUGCUACACAACUGUCAAAUCUACCUGACAUAUUUUUUCAUGUCUAGGUAAAUUUGAUGAUUUUGUGUUUUAUUAACUAUUUUAUGUUUCUGUGCAACACUUAAUGAAUGUAACUGACUAAUUAACCUCUACACAUCUGAUAUAUGCUUUAGAGUUGCCACUUUGCCCAUUUGUUAAAUAAACGUUAAAAUUUAAACGUUAAAA
Cyprinus carpio (common carp) is the source of this 698-nucleotide long non-coding RNA. RefSeq lists it as uncharacterized. The transcript is spliced from 3 exons. The record is from RefSeq and is a predicted model, not a curated record. NCBI's taxonomy places the organism in Eukaryota, Metazoa, Chordata, Actinopteri, Cypriniformes, Cyprinidae.